Molecule: long non-coding RNA, 7620 nt
Organism: Apis cerana (Asiatic honeybee)
Lineage: Eukaryota; Metazoa; Arthropoda; Insecta; Hymenoptera; Apidae
Source: RefSeq, a predicted model, not a curated record
CAAUGUCAAAUGGAUCGAGAUAUCGCGAUAUAACAUGACGAUCCAACGUUACGAUAUUUCAGUCGAGGCUUGACUAUGUCAUAGGUCAUUAUCAUCAAUUAUCGAUUCCGAUAAUCUGUCUUAAAAAUUAUAAAAUAAUUAUACAUCUCGAGUAAAAAUUGAAAUUGGAAUAAAAUGAAAAUAGAUUUGCAUAUUAUAAAUUGCAAUUGAAUUGUAAAUCGUAAAUAUUCGUAUAAAAUACGUAGUAUCAUACACAUUGUGUACUAUAUCAAACGUGAUGAUUGGUAUAAACUCUUUCUAAAAAGUUUCCAUACAAAUUAUUAAUAACUUAUUUAAAUGUCACUCAAACUUUAUUCGAAGAAGUGUAAAAAAAAAAAUUCAGGCAAAAUCGCACUUUAUCGAAAAUAAAAUUUAUCAAAGUAUCGAAAUAUUUGAUGAAAGAAAAGAACCAAACGUGUACGUAUAUAUUCUUCAAAUUACAAAUUCUAAUCGUAAUCCAAUAAUAAUAAUAAUCAUUAAUUCGAAUUAUAUAUUUAUUAUAACCAACUAAUAAAAUUGAUCUGAGCCACAAUUUUGGCACAUCUUGGCACGAAAAUAUCUUCAUCACGAGUAAUGCGAAGGCUACGAGGUUAAGGAAACAAAAACGUUGUGAUACCAGAGAGAUGCAUUCGCGUCUGCAGAUAUGAUAUCUGAAUCAAGGGGACCGUCCUCUAAUCGACCGUGCUAUGUCUCAAUGUUAACACAAAAUUAUCACAGGUGAUAGGAGCCGGCUUACAAACGUCGUCUGUGAGUCUUGAUAAUUCCUUGAUAAUUUAACCACGAUGUGCUUCUUCUAUUUGUACUCCCCUGCCUCCUAUUUGUACUCCUUGCUAAAUCUCGGAUAACUCUCGAAUUAUCCUCCAUAUUGCCUCCCAUGUAUCAUUUUAUUUCAUCAAAAUUCUUAGAAUUUUUAUUGCUCAAAAAUAUUGAACUUUCUUUCAUACGAGAUUUUACAUUCGAGCAUAUUUCAUAUCGAUAAAAAUUGUUUUUUUAAUUUGGUUUAUGAAUAAAAUAUAAAAGAAGAAAUUAUUUUUUUCUCUUAAUAGCUUUGAAUUUCCGAUCCUCGUGAAAAAGAUAUAGAAACGAUUUCUAAUUUUUCGCAAUUGCACGAGCAAAUAAUAAUCUCCCGAUUGAAUCGUGUUCGAGGAACGAAUUGCUUGAACCGAGAUAAAUUUGUAUAAAGAGAGAGAGAGAGAGAGAGAGAGAGAGAGCGAGAAAAAAGAAGAAACACAGCAAAUAACAGUUUCAGUUUUAUUUGUUGUAAAAUCUACAACGAGGAAAUAAUAUCGGUUCGUCAUUAGUCGCGCGUAAAUUGAGCGUAGAAAUGAAUGCUCGUUAUUUUGUGAAAAUACGCGUGAAAAUAUUGCAAAAAUGUAUAUAAAAAAAAAAAGUUAAAAAAUUAACUAAUAUAGAUCAUCGUUAAAAAUAAUAAAUUCUUCCACAAAAAGGAAAAAAAACAAAAUGAAAUGAAAUCAAACGAUUAAAAAGUUUUCAAAAAUUCUCAUUAUAUUGAAAUUUGGACUGUAUAUUUUUGAACGCCGUUAUUAAUGUUUCAGAGUUUGCCAAGCUUGGAAGUUAGAAAGUUUAUCGCAUAAAUGAAAUGAAAUAUCGCUAUCGAGAGCGAUAUUCGAUGAAAGACAAAAAGAGAGAGAAAGAGAGAAAGAGAGAGAGAGAGAGAGAAAGGUGAAAAACAUUUUGCAGCCUAUUACAUAUCACGGUAGAUGAUCACGUUCCUGUGAAAGUGUUUCGAGAAUUAUGUAAAUGACUAAUUUUCACGCCAGGGCAAAGUUCUUUCUUCAUAUGCGACUCGAGCGAAUACGACUUUCUUGCCUCGAACAGUGAAAGCGGUCGGGAUUAAUUCUUUCUGUGGCGCGCGAGUAACUUGGCAAAGUCACGAAAUGCAGAAAUCACGCUCACUUUGAGAAAGGUCAUGGUAGCCACUUAAACUUUGCCCAACUUGGAAAUUUCUCGAUAUCGAUAAAUAACCAUGUUUCUUUCUUCAUUCUUUUGUUCGAAUUUCAUUCAUUUCGUUACUCUUUCACGUAUACUUUUCUUUUUUUUUUCUUACUUAAGAUUUGUUAAAACAUUGCAUUUGAUGAGAUUCGUACUUCUUCGAGGCAAGAAAAAUUCGAAAGAUUCGAGUUUCUUUAACGCGUCAAUUUUUUUGCGUCUGAUUUAUAUUUUUCAAAUAAAAUGCAAUCGCUUUAAGAUUAAGUAUAAAUUUUAAGCGGCGAAACAAGUUGAGUGGUGAAUUGAAAUUAGAUUUAACGAAAAACUUUUUUAACAAGAAUUUUAAUUAUAUUUUUGUAUAAUAUAACAGUUAGAAUAAUCGUUGAUUUCAUGAAUAAGUGAACGUGCUUUUAAUCGAGAUCGAAAGUACGGUGAAAGUAAGUGACAUUGAACUCUAAUAUUGCGAGUAGCACUUAUUUAGUCAACCAACUCUUUUCUUCGCGAUGAUAAAUACGAUAUAAUUGGAUUAUGAAGCUUAGCAAAGAAAGUCACUAUCCUAUAAGAUAAAUAACCAGCAAAAUAAUUAACAAAAUUUAUACAAUCGCCACAAUAAUAAUUCUCUUCAUAAUUAACAAUUCCUUUAAAUUAAUCAAUAAAAAGGAAUCCAAUUUAUCGAUUUACUCGUAAUUGAUCCAAAAAAAAAAAAAAAAUAAUCAGAAAAGAAAAGAAGAAGAAAAAAAAACUGGCGACAUUGACGGUCACCAAUUCAUCGACCAAUCGUCUUUGUUCGAGGAUGACAAAAUAGGUGAGAAUCGGGUCCAGGAAGCGUGCAAAAUGCCCGAUUGGAGCGGCGAUACGCAUAUGCAAAUGUCGUCUAGAAAGGAGGCUAGCGUGGCGAGGGUAGAUCAGGUCGGUGGCUCGCGAAGAGAGACCGUGAACAAAGACCGGUUCUCGUAUGAAGGUCACUGGUUCAAUGGCGCCCAUAUACACGCCGGGGCGCGUUCGUUCUCUCGAAGGCCGUUUCACUUUCGUCGAACGCGGCCAAAAACCGUUUUCUUCUUUGGGCCGGCGUGUGCACACCGGCUGGCCCCUUUCUCCUUCCUCCUUUUCACCGAACCGUGGUCGCCUCGAUCCACGCCACGGCCGAUCCACUUGCACUUUCGACCAUCGGGUUCAAGGCCACCGGUUCGAGACUCGCUCCUCCGAGAGAUCUCGCGACGCUUCGAAGCGAGGGAAGUACGAUCGUUGUGCAGAUAUCUGGGUCAUCCUGGCUAAUUAGGUUAUUAUCAUUAGGUUCAAGGAGGUUGAAAAGUUAUAUAUAAGUGUGAGGUGGAGUGGAUCAAUGAAUCGUUACGUCGAUCUUUUUUUUUUCUUUUUCUUUUCAAUUCGGUAAGAAAUGGUUUGGAAAAACGUUCGAACGGUAAUAGCAUUCGAGCAUAUUUAUUUCUGAAUCGGAGCAUAUUUGUUAUAUAAAGAGAAACGGAAACGGUUUCGUCGAAUAAAAGAAAAUCCAAUGAAUAUUUCAACUCGAUCCCUCUCCCCGAUCAAUUCAUUUUCAAGACUCGAUCAUCAGUUUAAAAUUCAUGAAUAGAUUGCCCACAGAUUCGACGAGGUUUGACAAAAAUUUCUUCGUUUUGAAUUUGAUUAAAAAUUCGCAAGUCUCCGAUUUGAGAUUGAAAAUGGUUUGGAAAUACGUGGAUUUUCGAAGGAAAAGAGCAAAACUGGUCGUUCUGAAUCUCGCGAUUUCACCUCGGGUAUGGGAGGUGAUAGCCUGGUGGAAAGUUGCGGGCCAGUGUUCUCCUCGCCGCGGAACAGUUUCGCUUUCUUAAACGACUCUCACGCUCGCUCUCGACGGGCCUCUUCCCUCGUUUUCAGGACCCCCGUUGGGUCGCGAUCCGGUUUCUAAAACUCUCGCCACGGUGUCUCGCUUUCGUUCGCGCCCCGAUCGCGGCUUCUCCCAACGGAGAACGAAAGUGGAGAACGGUUUGGGUCAGCCAGGUCGACGAACCUGGAGGAAUUCCCUCGCGUGACGCCAUCGCGGGCUGAAUUCGAACUCAUUUUCUCUUUCCUCGCCGAUACGUGGUGAAAGCGCGUACAAACGCGUUUCGUCGAUCGACGAUCGUGUUUCCACUCGUGGAGGGAUGCUGAACCAUAUGCUGUUAAAAUCAUGUUUGAACUUUUUUCAUCGGAGAAAUAUUUAAAUGGAGAUUUUAGAUUCAGAUUCAGGAAGUGUAUUUAACCGUGGAACAUUCCUCUACUCGAGAUAAUAAAUAAAAUAAUUCUGGAUAGAUUUGUAUAUUCGGAUAUAUACAGAGGGAUUUUAUAACAAAAUUGAAAUCUAUUUGGACAGAUAUUUAAGCUGUUCAUCCGCUAUGGAUUCUCCACUCCAAGAAGGCGACGAUUAUCGACUCUAUUUUGGACUUUACACUCGAUUGAAAUUGUGAAUAAUGUCAAAAUUAUACCAUCCAUCCAAUUGUCUAUUAACAACUGGAUCAAAUUAAUUGGAUAGUCAAAUUAAUUUAAAAAAAAGAAUGAAAUUAAUAAUCCAGAUGCCUCGAAGACAGUGUAGCCAGGGGAUAACCUAUAUGACCGAGGUCUGGGUUAGCUCUUCAAGGCAUUCUGACCGAGUGAAUCUAGUAUGCGCGGUAUCGGGUAGCCGAACACUAUAUCGACAACAAGACCACGAACAAGGAAGGCUUUCUCCGUUGACCUUGAGGCCUGGCUAAAGCCCCGGAGCGACGUGAACUUGAACCAGUCUCGUGUUCUUUCCUUACGUCCAUAUUCCUCCUCUUCGAUGGAAACGAAUGCAAAUCGAUUUUCGAUUCGAACAGAUCGUGUAUUUUCAACGAUCCAAUAUAUAAUAAAGUUAUAUUCUAGAUAACAGGUAUAUAUAUAUAUCUAAAAUAUGGAUCGAAAUUGCAACCAUCUAUUCUAGGUUAUCGAGUCGAAAUUGCAAUCGUCUGGGCCCAAUAUCAUCGAAAUUAUCCACACAUCAGACCUGUAAUGGAUCCAAAGCUACCGAAUCGAAAUUGCAAUCGUUUAUACUGGACCUGAUCCAAAUUAUCCACACCGGCCUCUAAAGCUAUCGAAUCGAAAUCGAGAUUGCAAUCGUUUCGGGCCUAAUGCUACCAUUCUCGAAAUUAUCCGAAGCUAAAACUAUCGAAUCGAAAAGUGAAAAUUGCAACUAUGCUGAAUCGAAUCUCACAAGGAUGAUAGAUCCGUAUGAAACGGUAUCGCAAUUCCUUCGACGUAAAAUCAACGAUGAUCGUUGCAUGUAACUUUUCAGGAGAAUUACGCAACAGUGCACAUUAAUGCGUCUUCUUCCAAAAGGAAUCGAUCGAGGCAACCAAUUGUGUAAUCCGACCUCCAUUUCAGGGAUAUCGUCCCAGGUUGUCCUGGAAUCUACAGGAUUUAUGCUCACCUGAAUCCGUUUAAGGUCGAGUUUUUUCGUAGAAGCCUAAUAAUAUUAAUAAUUUAUCUAACAACUAGCAUGGAAUUGUAAAACGAUGCAAUAAUAAUAUAGAAAGUACACCUUUGGCACAGUGAAAGUAUGAUUUUUAAUGAAACAUGUUACAUACAAGCUUAAUUUCAGAAUGUUUUAUUCAGAAUGUAGGGAACGUAGAGUUACGAGCAAUUUUAAUGAAAUAGUGUAAAAAAUAUUGGAAGUAUGCAAGAUGGAUUUUUUUUCUUUUUAAUUUUUAAACAGAAAAUUAGAUAUCGCACAGUUAUUAAAAUAGCGAAACGCGUCGAAAGAGACAAACUCUAUCAGCAGAAAGUGAACGGACAUGCAGAGAUAUUCUCUAAAUAGAUUGAACAUCUGAGGACCUCCUUCGAGGGUAAACCGACCUUGUUGUUGUCUCACCCAACUGUUCCUGACCCAGACGCUUUGUUUCGUUUUAAUUAUAGGACUAUUUUUCCCCCCCCGUUUUCUCCUUUCCCUUCUCAUCAUCGUUUCACGAAAAAAAAAAAAAAAAAAGAAACAAUGAUCCCCCUAAAACAGAAAACUACCCAUUGCACGAACGUAUCCACUCAUUUAUCUCUCUUUUAUAAUCCUAACCGGGAAAUCCAACUCUUCCACAAUCUAUCCACGCUCUAAACUGAACCCUUAUUCAAAAAUAGUGAAGGAACAAAUCUAUUUUCGAGAUAUUUAAAAUGCCUUUUCAUUUUCCUUUCCAACAACCGCCCCUCACUCAUUCAUUUCACUUUCGUCAAAUCACCUCUCCCCUCCUUCUUUAUCAUUAUCCAUCAUUUCCUCUCCUCUCCUCUCUCCCAAUCGUUCUCCCACUCAGAGAACAAUAUCACCAACGUCGUAGUCGUCUCUAUCUCGUCGCGUCGAUCUCUCUCUCUCUCGGUUCCCUAGCUCGCCCCACUCUCUUCCCUCCUUCACUAUUCUAACUCAUGCGUGCUAUAACGCGCCUUGUCCCUAACCUAAUCCAACGAGAGUCGUGCUGAGCCACACCACGGACUACGGAGCCAGCCGCGCACUACAUUCAGACCGGUUUGAUGAUUCAGGUUCAUCUAGAUCUAAACAACUACGACCUCGGACACGUAAUACGUUUGGUCGCGGGUCUCGCGGCCAGCCACCACACGGAGAUUACCCCCUGCGUGAGAAGGGGGCCACCGAACGGGGCGCAUUAUGCGUGCUCUGCAAAAGCUCUUCUCUUGCUGGAAGGCUCGUGGAAUUUGUGCGAGACGCUGCUCGUGAAUAGAAUUUCGAAUGGCGUGAUUCUAUGGAAUUCAAUUUUUAUGAAUGACGCAAAAGAAGUACGUUUCGUGAAUAGGUUGGGUUUUUAGGUCAAAUAGAUUUCCAAUGAUCGGUUGAACAGAGAUUUCGAUCGAUUAAAAAGUUGGGAUUAAUUUGAGAUUGAAAUAAUUCUUUCGAAUUUUCGAAAGAAAAAUUUAUUCGAAUCGAGAACUUAGAAAAAGUGCGAGAGGAAAGUUUGGGAGAGAUUUUUUUUUUCAGAGAUUGUAAUACGUUUUAAGAUAAGGAACCCUCAUCUGUCUGGAUGAUUAUGUGAGCCGACAGAUAAAGAUAUAACGCACAUUUCUUUUUCUUUUUUUUUAGGGUUAGGGUGAUUUUAUUUGACGACCGUGAAGAACGAAUCCUUAAAAAUCCGCGCACAAUUAAAAGCUUGCCUUUGAAAAAGUCGAAAGCGUCCUUUGAGCCUGCUUGGAUCGAUUUACGAAGUGUUAAGGGGAUUCUUUUGAGAAUUUUUCUUCAAAGGACAUUCAGGGGCACUGGUACGGAGUGCAGGAACGAGUGUCAGCCUGGAAUCCUCGACAAGGGAGACCUUGACCUUCGCUAGUCGACCUACAACGCCCGCUUCUAAGGGGAUCCUUGAACGAAAUACAGAAGGGUUUAAUGUCUACGCCAUUAUACUUAUUAUAAUCCAUUCUUCCGCGUCUCGACACGACCGGGAGGGGGAUUCGUCUCGAGCAAUCGGUCUGUUUCUCUCGACGAACCAGAUGAACGUGCUCCGCAAUCGUCUAGCCUCGAAUAUAAUUCUUUAUAACGGAUACACGUUCUUAUAAAACUUUUUCCGAUUAUAUAAUAUAUCGACAUUUAAAUCGAAAUAUUUCUUUAAAUUAUAAACAACAAAAUUUAGGAAAAUACGAAUCUGAAAUUUUUAA